Molecule: long non-coding RNA, 201 nt
Filed under: Elaeis guineensis (African oil palm)
Lineage: Eukaryota; Viridiplantae; Streptophyta; Magnoliopsida; Arecales; Arecaceae
Description: long non-coding RNA (EGUI_LNC054872)
Source: RNAcentral
UUUCCCCCAAGAUGAAGCGGUACUAUUUUCUAAUUGAUGCAACUUAAGUCCAUCAAUGGUUGUAGAAUGGAUUUUUCCCUUUUUCAGGAUAUAGCAUGUUACAACUAAAAUGGAUAGUGUAUAUACAUCCAGAAGAAAUCAAAAUGCAGUCUAAUUUUAAAAGACAGUCAACAGAAGAAGUUAUAGCCUACCGGAUGGAUG